CAGCCGCCACGGUAAUACAGAGGGUGCGAGCGUUAAUCGGAUUUACUGGGCGUAAAGCGUGCGUAGGCGGCUUCUUAAGUCGGAUGUGAAAUCCCUGAGCUUAACUUAGGAAUUGCAUUCGAUACUGGGAAGCUAGAGUAUGGGAGAGGAUGGUAGAAUUCCAGGUGUAGCGGUGAAAUGCGUAGAGAUCUGGAGGAAUACCGAUGGCGAAGGCAGCCAUCUGGCCUAAUACUGACGCUGAGGUACGAAAGCAUGGGGAGCAAACAGGAUUAGAUACCCCUGUAGUCCCUGUCUCACAUAC
This 301-nucleotide ribosomal RNA is filed under the name uncultured bacterium. RNAcentral's name for it is "partial 16S ribosomal RNA". It matches the Rfam family "Bacterial small subunit ribosomal RNA", at positions 509 to 809 of the family's 1533-position model. The record is from RNAcentral.